AGCUUCGGUUACGACACCCGUGGACGUUCGCACGAACUGGUCGCCGGAGCGGUUAUGCUGGGCCAUGGCGGCGACGAAUAUACCUGCUCGCACCCUCAUCACAUUUGUGGCGAUGAAUGCCUGUCGUUCCAGUUGUCGCCUGCGCUCGCCGACGACAUGGGUGUCCGCAAGGACGCGUUGCGGAUUGGCUGCGUGCCGCCGACACCUGAGCUCAUGGUCUACGGCGAACUGGCGCAAGCCGCCGGGCGCGGCG
RNAcentral lists this unclassified non-coding RNA (253 nucleotides) under Hevea brasiliensis (rubber tree). Lineage: Eukaryota; Viridiplantae; Streptophyta; Magnoliopsida; Malpighiales; Euphorbiaceae. The record is from RNAcentral.